This 486-nucleotide ribosomal RNA is filed under the name uncultured bacterium. RNAcentral's name for it is "bacterial SSU rRNA". It matches the Rfam family "Bacterial small subunit ribosomal RNA", at positions 8 to 506 of the family's 1533-position model. The record is from RNAcentral.
AGAAUCUGAUCCUGGUUCGCUAAGAACGCUAUAGAUGUACUUAACACAUUGCUAAUCGAAUGAAAUUAAAAAUAUUAUGUUAAAUAAAUUUUUAUUUACAUGGUGUGCAACCGAGUAAUUAUAUAAGAAUCUACCUUAAAGAUAGGAAUAAAAUGCCUAAUAUAAAAGAAAGAUAUAUUAAUUAUCGCUUUUAAGUUGAGCUUAUAUCGAAUCAUGGUAGUUGGUGGGAUAAUAGCUUACCAAGCUUAUGACUCGUAGCCAGUUUGAGAGAACGUAUGGUCGGGCCGGGAGUUUAAUAGAUCCGGACAACAAUCGUUGUCAGCAGUGAGGAAUAUUGGACAAUUACGGAAACGUAGAUCCAGUAACAUCGGGGAUAAAUGAGUUAAGCACAAAAGAUCUUUUCUUUUGUAGGGGUUCGGUCUUUCAAAUUUGAUCGUCUGUGAGGAAAAUGACGUUAGCAGAAGAUGAAGCUCUAACAAAUUACGU